RNAcentral lists this ribosomal RNA (544 nucleotides) under Salmonella enterica. RNAcentral's name for it is "partial 23S ribosomal RNA". It matches the Rfam family "Bacterial large subunit ribosomal RNA", at positions 711 to 1252 of the family's 2925-position model. Lineage: Bacteria; Pseudomonadati; Pseudomonadota; Gammaproteobacteria; Enterobacterales; Enterobacteriaceae. The record is from RNAcentral. RNAcentral also lists the same sequence under 1 other name.
AGACCCGAAACCCGGUGAUCUAGCCAUGGGCAGGUUGAAGGUUGGGUAACACUAACUGGAGGACCGAACCGACUAAUGUUGAAAAAUUAGCGGAUGACCUGUGGCUGGGGGUGAAAGGCCAAUCAAACCGGGAGAUAGCUGGUUCUCCCCGAAAGCUAUUUAGGUAGCGCCUCGUGAAUUCAUCUCCGGGGGUAGAGCACUGUUUCGGCUAGGGGGCCAUCCCGGCUUACCAACCCGAUGCAAACUGCGAAUACCGGAGAAUGUUAUCACGGGAGACACACGGCGGGUGCUAACGUCCGUCGUGAAGAGGGAAACAACCCAGACCGCCAGCUAAGGUCCCAAAGUCAUGGUUAAGUGGGAAACGAUGUGGGAAGGCCCAGACAGCCAGGAUGUUGGCUUAGAAGCAGCCAUCAUUUAAAGAAAGCGUAAUAGCUCACUGGUCGAGUCGGCCUGCGCGGAAGAUGUAACGGGGCUAAACCAUGCACCGAAGCUGCGGCAGCGACACUGUGUGUUGUUGGGUAGGGGAGCGUUCUGUAAGCCUGUG